CAGUGAUCCAAGAUUAAGAGCGACGUAAUAGUAGCUGAAGAAGGCCGUUUUCGACUUGUUCUCCUCUGCGUCUUCCUCGUCGAACUGAUCUGCGCCCAGCGUCGCCAUUGCCGGUUCUAUGGCCCCACUCCCCAAAGCUACUCAAAAUCAGUAAAGAGUUCGAUGCGGAGAAGCUCAUUUCAAGCGAAGAACGAGGCGAGGCGAGCGACUUACAAUGACUAAAACAGCUUGAAAUACAACACAGGUUAGGUAUCUUCCCAAGUAUGAGUCACUGAGAAAAGCCCCCAACAGAGUGCAGAUGUUGAGAGUUCCCAUCCACGUACUGAACGUUUUCGCUGCAUCCGCGUUCGUCUGCCUCAACACGGAUUUCGAGAAAAGCACCAUGUUUACUUCUACUCCGGUAAACGCAAGAGCAGCAAGUCCUUCACUCACUGAAAACAAUAAUGCAGAAAACAGAUAUGGAUUAUAUGAGAGUUGAUCAUAUGAAAGUACCAAGAACCAGAGAUCCUGCUCUCCAUCCACCCGUUCUGUCUCGUGCUGCUGGCUUUCCAUACACGUCGAGCGUCCCAUCUUUCGUGCAUUCAUCUAGAAGCCCCGUUCCUCGUUCCUGCAUGCCGUAGAUGAAGCUGAAUGAGAUCUCUGAGUCUAGAGAAGGCGCAGCUGAGGGAGUAAGAUGAAAAAGGAUGAUGUCAAUCGGGACAAUCCAUCGGGUUUCGAGCUAGCCAGCGGGGCCCAAAAAGAUAAAAGAGAGUGCUGAAGCUUCAAUCAUAUCUGUUGCAUCUUCUUCAACAACAUGCGAGAGAUCAAAUCUUUGUAAAGUGGAAAAGAGAUGGGGCCAAGAGAGAUUUUCUCAAUCAUUGUGUUUUGCAUUUAUUAACGUGGAAAACAUGGAAACGACAAACAAACAUGGAAAUGAAAUGAGUUGUGCUCGAGAAUAAAUGAAAAAUUAUGGCUGCUUGACAAACUGCAUU
Salvia miltiorrhiza (redroot sage) is the source of this 971-nucleotide long non-coding RNA. RefSeq lists it as uncharacterized. The transcript has 4 exons. The record is from RefSeq and is a predicted model, not a curated record. NCBI's taxonomy places the organism in Eukaryota, Viridiplantae, Streptophyta, Magnoliopsida, Lamiales, Lamiaceae.